Molecule: ribosomal RNA, 449 nt
Filed under: uncultured prokaryote
Description: bacterial SSU rRNA
Rfam family: Bacterial small subunit ribosomal RNA
Source: RNAcentral
UGGGGAAUAUUGCACAAUGGGGGAAACCCUGAUGCAGCCAUGCCGCGUGUGUGAAGAAGGCCUUCGGGUUGUAAAGCACUUUCAGCGAGGAGGAAAGGGUGACGGUUAAUACCCGUUAUCUGUGACGUUACUCGCAGAAGAAGCACCGGCUAACUCCGUGCCAGCAGCCGCGGUAAUACGGAGGGUGCGAGCGUUAAUCGGAAUUACUGGGCGUAAAGCGCAUGCAGGCGGUUGGGUCAGUCAGAUGUGAAAGCCCCGGGCUUAACCUGGGAAUUGCAUUUGAUACUUUCCGACUAGAGUCCUUGAGAGGGGGGUAGAAUUUCAGGUGUAGCGGUGAAAUGCGUAGAGAUCUGAAGGAAUACCAGUGGCGAAGGCGGCCCCCUGGCAAGAGACUGACGCUCAGAUGCGAAAGCGUGGGGAGCAAACAGGAUUAGAUACCCCGGUAGUCC